Molecule: transfer RNA, 84 nt
Filed under: Achromobacter denitrificans
Lineage: Bacteria; Pseudomonadati; Pseudomonadota; Betaproteobacteria; Burkholderiales; Alcaligenaceae
Also listed under: 1 other name
Description: tRNA-Gly
Source: RNAcentral
CGGGCUACCUGGCGCAGCGGGGCGUGCGCGUUUCGCCGGAACGCGACGGCGUGCGCGUAUCGUUCGGCGUCUUCAAUACCCCGG